RNAcentral lists this non-coding RNA (27 nucleotides) under Rattus norvegicus (Norway rat). Lineage: Eukaryota; Metazoa; Chordata; Mammalia; Rodentia; Muridae. The record is from RNAcentral.
UGCUGAGGAUUUGGGCACCUCCGGGGU